Molecule: ribosomal RNA, 874 nt
Filed under: uncultured bacterium
Lineage: Bacteria
Description: bacterial SSU rRNA
Rfam family: Bacterial small subunit ribosomal RNA
Source: RNAcentral
GAACGCUGGCGGCAGGCUUAACACAUGCAAGUCGAACGGUAGCAGGAGAAAGCUUGCUUUCUUGCUGACGAGUGGCGGACGGGUGAGUAAUGCUUGGGAAUCUGGCUUAUGGAGGGGGAUAACGACGGGAAACUGUCGCUAAUACCGCGUAUUAUCGGAAGAUGAAAGUGCGGGACUGAGAGGCCGCAUGCCAUAGGAUGAGCCCAAGUGGGAUUAGGUAGUUGGUGGGGUAAAUGCCUACCAAGCCUGCGAUCUCUAGCUGGUCUGAGAGGAUGACCAGCCACACUGGAACUGAGACACGGUCCAGACUCCUACGGGAGGCAGCAGUGGGGAAUAUUGCGCAAUGGGGGGAACCCUGACGCAGCCAUGCCGCGUGAAUGAAGAAGGCCUUCGGGUUGUAAAGUUCUUUCGGUAUUGAGGAAGGUUGAUGUGUUAAUAGCACAUCAAAUUGACGUUAAAUACAGAAGAAGCACCGGCUAACUCCGUGCCAGCAGCCGCGGUAAUACGGAGGGUGCGAGCGUUAAUCGGAAUAACUGGGCGUAAAGGGCACGCAGGCGGUUAUUUAAGUGAGGUGUGAAAGCCCCGGGCUUAACCUGGGAAUUGCAUUUCAGACUGGGUAACUAGAGUACUUUAGGGAGGGGUAGAAUUCCACGUGUAGCGGUGAAAUGCGUAGAGAUGUGGAGGAAUACCGAAGGCGAAGGCAGCCCCUUGGGAAUGUACUGACGCUCAUGUGCGAAAGCGUGGGGAGCAAACAGGAUUAGAUACCCUGGUAGUCCACGCUGUAAACGCUGUCGAUUUGGGGGUUGGGGUUUAACUCUGGCGCCCGUAGCUAACGUGAUAAAUCGACCGCCUGGGGAGUACGGCCGCAAGGUUA